This 495-nucleotide ribosomal RNA is filed under the name uncultured bacterium. Its description in RNAcentral is "bacterial SSU rRNA". It matches the Rfam family "Bacterial small subunit ribosomal RNA", at positions 28 to 514 of the family's 1533-position model. The record is from RNAcentral.
GAUGAACGCUAGCGGCAGGCUUAAUACAUGCAAGUCGAGGGGCAGCAUGACUGUAGCAAUACAGUUGAUGGCGACCGGCAAACGGGUGCGGACCACGUACAGAACCUUCCUUCGAGCGGGGAAUAGCCCAGAGAAAUUUGGAUUAAUACUCCAUAGUAUAUUAGAGUGGCAUCACUUUGAUAUUAAAGAUUUAUCACUUGAAGAUGGCUGUGCGGCUGAUUAGGUAGUUGGCGGGGUAACGGCCCACCAAGCCUUCGAUCAGUAACUGGUGUGAGAGCACGACCAGUCACACGGGCACUGAGACACGGGCCCGACUCCUACGGGAGGCAGCAGUAAGGAAUAUUGGUCAAUGGACGAAAGUCUGAACCAGCCAUGCCGCGUGGAGGAUGAAGGUCCUCUGGAUUGUAAACUUCUUUUAUAUGGGACGAAAAAAGGGUUUUCUAACUCGUCUGACGGUACCAUAUGAAUAAGCACCGGCUAACUCCGUGCCAGCAG